Molecule: ribosomal RNA, 228 nt
Filed under: uncultured soil bacterium
Lineage: Bacteria
Description: partial 16S ribosomal RNA
Rfam family: Bacterial small subunit ribosomal RNA
Source: RNAcentral
AGAUUGAACGCUGGCGGCAUGCCUAACACAUGCAAGUCGAACGGGAGUAGCAAUACUCUAGUGGCGGACGGGUGAGGAAUACGUAGGAAUUUGCCCUUAAGUGGGGGAUAACCCGGGGAAACCCGGAUUAAUACCGCAUGACCUCGAAAGAGCAAAGUGGGGGAUCGACAAGACCUCACGCUUUUGGAGAAGCCUACGUCGGAUUAGCUAGUUGGUGAGGUAAUGGCU